ACAGUGGGGAUAACUGAGUGACAGAUAAUCAGGAGAAGAAAAGGAGAUCCAGAAUCAUGACAGAGAGAUGACCUUUGCCAAGAGCACAGCCAUCUUUCACUGUCACAGAGAGGUAGGACAAAACGAUUGGUGUUCAAGAAUUGGUUUGUAGCACAAUAUUUUAACUAUGUCCUUUAAAAAGUUUCUCCACAGACACUACCCAAAGCAGUCCUUCACUACAGUGGCAGACAGACCUGAAAAUUUUCAUCUGAAGCAGCAGAGUGAACUGCAGAGUCAGGUAAUUUCUAGAAGGCUUGCUUUGUUCCAUUGAUACUGAAGAUUAUUCAUGAGGCCAGUCUUCUGAGAUUUCUGUCAUUUCUCUCAUGCCAGGUCACCAACCAGUGUGGAGGCUAAAAGCGGGCCUCUUUGGGGAUUCCAGGUGGAAGUGUUGGACAUCUGUAGUAUUCCUGGUCUCAAAUCAUCCUGAUAUUCUUCAUUUUGUUAUUCACAUUGGACUAGGGCAAGGAAAUGAGUUCUGGUCAGAGUCAAUGUUUCCCAACAAUGUUGAUUUAUUUGGUCCUAAAUAUUUAAACACAUUUUAUAAAUAGCUUUUCCACACCACAUAUAUAGGGAAAAACAGGGAAUUAACUUGGCCCAGCAGCACUGUUUGUGGGGCUAACACCCUGUGUAUCUCACACCAACCCUAAGCUUUGUUUCCCUCCUGUCACUUUGCUCCUAUUUCUUUCAUAUGAAAGAAUGUUCAUUUUCUUUGAAAAUGAGCUCAUUUCCUCAUUUUCUUUCCAUCUUUCAGCAGGAACAAAGAUCACCACAACUGGCUCCCCUUCAACUAUGUUAGAUGGCAACUUGCCUUCAGUAUGGUGAAACACAUCAGUUAAGACUGGGGUUGUGCAUGGCAGGACUUUCUACAAGGACACCCAGUCUCCUUAAUAAACAUGAGAUGCUCUCUUUCCAGAAGUUCUCUUGCCUGACACAGCAUAGGAAGAUGCUGAACGGCCACACAGUGACCCAUUGAGAUAGAAUCUCACUAUGUUGACCAGGCUGGUCUUGAACUCUUGGCACCCAAGCGAUCCUUUUGCCUGGAAUCCCAAAGUGUCAGAUUUACUGAAGAAUAUUUCAUUGUAAUUACUUUUUAUACUUUAUAGGUCAAGAGCUCUGUUUUAAAGACAAAAUUUAUUGAAUAUACUUUUUCAAACAAAGUUUCAUGUUCUAAUCAUUGUCUGAUUUCAGCAUUAAAUGAAACACAGUAAAGAAAGUUGGGC
Molecule: long non-coding RNA, 1259 nt
Filed under: Homo sapiens (human)
Lineage: Eukaryota; Metazoa; Chordata; Mammalia; Primates; Hominidae
Description: long intergenic non-protein coding RNA 342
Source: RNAcentral